UAUCACUUUAAUUAUUUUUUAAUUUUUAUUGUUUGAUAUUUUUUCUUAAUUAUAUUAUUUUUCAAAAUAAUAUCUGCCAAGAAGAUUGUUCUCUUCUUUAUUUUAUUGAAAUUUGACAAACCCAUGUUUUGUUUUUUAGAUGCUCUUCUUCUCCGUCCCUCAACACCAAAAUUCUGGCGGACGCUCUUCAUCUCCAUCAAUCCGAGCUGAUCCUUCAAGUUCAGUAAAAUAUAUUUAAAUUUUUCAUUUUUAUAUUCUUCAACCAUAUGAGUAUACUUUAGAUUUUUUAUUUUUAUAUUCUUCAACCAUAU
RNAcentral lists this long non-coding RNA (311 nucleotides) under Elaeis guineensis (African oil palm). Its description in RNAcentral is "long non-coding RNA (EGUI_LNC001371)". The record is from RNAcentral. Lineage: Eukaryota; Viridiplantae; Streptophyta; Magnoliopsida; Arecales; Arecaceae.